GCCAAUGCAUGCUUUUACAGUAUGGAAAUUGGUGAUUUAUAAUAACUUGGCAAAUCGCAAAGUGAAAACAGGCGAUAAAUCAUUCAAGUUUCUGACCUAUCAGCUUUCGACGGUAUGGUAUUGGCUUACCGUGGCAGUGACGGUUAACGGGGGAUUAGGGUUCGACUCCGGAGAGGGAGCCUGAGAAACGGCUACCACAUCUAAGGAAGGCAGCAGGCGCGCAAAUUACCCAAUUCUAACAGUUUGAGAGAGGUAGUAACAAGAAAUAACAAUACAAGGCAAUUAAAAUGUUUUGUAAUUGGAAUGAUAGAAAUUUAAACCCUUUUUAAAGUAUCAAUUGGAGGGCAAGUCUGGUGCCAGCAGCCGCGGUAAUUCCAGCUCCAAUAGCGUAUAUUAAAAUUGUUGCAGUUAAAAAGCUCGUAGUUGAAGUUCUGCUAAAAGUAACCGGUCUGCUUUUAAUAAAAGUGGUAUCUUGGUGUGUAUUUAGCAAUGAUGUCCUUUGAAGUGUUUUUUACUUUAUUGUAAUAAAGCAUAUUCAGGACUUUUACUUUGAGAAAAUUAGAGUGUUUCUAGCAGGCCGACGCGUUUGAAUACUGCAGCAUGGAAUAAUAAGA
This 614-nucleotide ribosomal RNA is filed under the name Hepatozoon canis. Its description in RNAcentral is "SSU rRNA". It matches the Rfam family "Eukaryotic small subunit ribosomal RNA", at positions 221 to 822 of the family's 1831-position model. The record is from RNAcentral. Lineage: Eukaryota; Apicomplexa; Hepatozoidae.